Molecule: ribosomal RNA, 497 nt
Filed under: uncultured bacterium
Lineage: Bacteria
Description: partial 16S ribosomal RNA
Rfam family: Bacterial small subunit ribosomal RNA
Source: RNAcentral
GAUGAACGCUGGCGGCGUGCCUAAUACAUGCAAGUCGAGCGAACAGAUGAGGAGCUUGCUCCUCUGACGUUAGCGGCGGACGGGUGAGUAACACGUGGAUAACCUACCUAUAAGACUGGGAUAACUUCUGGAAACCGGAGCUAAUACCGGAUAAUAUAUUGAACCGCAUGGUUCAAUAGUGAAAGACGGUUUUGCUGUCACUUAUAGAUGUAUCCGCGCCGCAUUAGCUAGUUGGUAAGGUAACGGCUUACCAAGGCAACGAUGCGUAGCCGACCUGAGAGGGUGAUCGGCCACACUGGAACUGAGACACGGUCCAGACUCCGACGGGAGGCAGCAGUAGGGAAUCUUCCGAAAUGGGCGAAAGCCUGACGGAGCAACGCCGCGUGAGUGAUGAAGGUCUUCGGAUCGUAAAACUCUGUUAUUAGGGAAGAACAAAUGUGUAAGUAACUAUGCAAGUCUUGACGGUACCUAAUCAGAAAGCCACGGCUAACUACGUG